AUUGAACGCUGGCGGCAUGCUUUACACAUGCAAGUCGAACGGCAGCGCGGGCUUCGGCCUGGCGGCGAGUGGCGAACGGGUGAGUAAUACCUCGGAACGUGCCCAGUAGUGGGGGAUAGCUCGGCGAAAGCCGGAUUAAUACCGCAUACGACCUGAGGGUGAAAGCGGGGGAUCUUCGGACCUCGCGCUCUUGGAGCGGCCGAUGGCAGAUUAGCUAGUUGGUGGGGUAAAGGCCUACCAAGGCGACGAUCUGUAGCUGGUCUGAGAGGACGACCAGCCACACUGGGACUGAGACACGGCCCAGACUCCUACGGGAGGCAGCAGUGGGAAAUUUUGGACAAUGGGCGAAAGCCUGAUCCAGCAAUGCCGCGUGUGUGAUGAAGGCCUUCGGGUUGUAAAGCACUUUUGGCGGGAACGAAAAGGACUGUGCCAAUACCACGGUUCGAUGACGGUACCCGCAGAAUAAGCACCGGCUAACUACGUG
This 484-nucleotide ribosomal RNA is filed under the name uncultured bacterium. RNAcentral's name for it is "partial 16S ribosomal RNA". It matches the Rfam family "Bacterial small subunit ribosomal RNA", at positions 29 to 507 of the family's 1533-position model. The record is from RNAcentral.